GUGCUCGCUUCGGCAGCACAUAUACUAAAAUUGGAACAAUACAGAGAUUAGCAUGGCCUGGAAAUUCGCAAGGAUGACAUGCAAAUUCGUGAUGCGUUCCAUAUUAAA
Molecule: small nuclear RNA, 108 nt
Organism: Grammomys surdaster
Lineage: Eukaryota; Metazoa; Chordata; Mammalia; Rodentia; Muridae
Source: RefSeq, a predicted model, not a curated record